Molecule: ribosomal RNA, 253 nt
Filed under: uncultured bacterium
Lineage: Bacteria
Description: partial 16S ribosomal RNA
Rfam family: Bacterial small subunit ribosomal RNA
Source: RNAcentral
UACAGAGGGUGCGAGCGUUACUCGGAAUUACUGGGCGUAAAGCGCACGUAGGUGGCGACGUAAGUCGGGUGUGAAAGCCCCGGGCUCAACCUGGGAAUUGCAUUCGAGACUGCAUUGCUGGAGUACGGAAGAGGAGGGCGGAAUUCAUGGUGUAGCAGUGAAAUGCGUAGAGAUCAUGAGGAAGACCAGUGGCGAAGGCGGGUCUCUGGACAGUUCCUGACACUGAGACACGAAGGCCAGGGGAGCAAACGGG